Molecule: ribosomal RNA, 493 nt
Filed under: Streptomyces sp. SUK23
Lineage: Bacteria; Bacillati; Actinomycetota; Actinomycetes; Kitasatosporales; Streptomycetaceae
Description: bacterial SSU rRNA
Rfam family: Bacterial small subunit ribosomal RNA
Source: RNAcentral
GGAUUAGUGGCGAACGGGUGAGUAACACGUGGGCAAUCUGCCCUGCACUCUGGGACAAGCCCUGGAAACGGGGUCUAAUACCGGAUAUGACUGUCCGCCGCAUGGUGGAUGGUGUAAAGCUCCGGCGGUGCAGGAUGAGCCCGCGGCCUAUCAGCUUGUUGGUGAGGUAGUGGCUCACCAAGGCGACGACGGGUAGCCGGCCUGAGAGGGCGACCGGCCACACUGGGACUGAGACACGGCCCAGACUCCUACGGGAGGCAGCAGUGGGGAAUAUUGCACAAUGGGCGAAAGCCUGAUGCAGCGACGCCGCGUGAGGGAUGACGGCCUUCGGGUUGUAAACCUCUUUCAGCAGGGAAGAAGCGAGAGUGACGGUACCUGCAGAAGAAGCGCCGGCUAACUACGUGCCAGCAGCCGCGGUAAUACGUAGGGCGCAAGCGUUGUCCGGAAUUAUUGGGCGUAAAGAGCUCGUAGGCGGCUUGUCACGUCGGUUGUG